AGAACUCCUUAACAACUUAGAGCUUUAUCCCUGUGAGUACCAGAAAAGUGAUCUGAGUAUUUAUUGAGCAGAAAGAACAAACUGCUUGCUCCAGGCAGGGAGAAAGCUUAUGGAAAUGAUAUUAGACCUUCAGCAAAGUGCACAGCUGCAUCAUACAGAAGCUGAGACUCAAACUGACAGGCAAAUAAGCCAGAUCACGGAAGGGGCCUCUGUGUGGCAGCUCUGAGCUACCAAGUGUUGGACAACUAGGCAAAAAGUGCAAUGGAACAGGGCAGAAAAUAACACACUAACUUCAGGCAACUGUUGCUCAUUCAUGGACUGGAAAUAAACAAUUUCAAUAGAUGUCAGUUUUGUGUGCUGUGAUGCUCCACUCUGAGUGAUGCCACGUUCAGCACUGAGUAGGACUGGCAGAGGAGAGAGGCUUCUCAGAAUGAGGUGUACAGCUGCCAUUCCAGGUGUGCAGCUGCCAUUCCAUCUCCCUGCAGGACUGUGUUUGCUGCUCCACAAGCUGCAGAAAAGGCAGAAAAAGAAAGAAACAAAGAAAGGCACCAAAGCAGAGAUCUUCAAAGUACCUAAACUCCAUCAGGAAAUUUUUGGUACCUUGCUGGUUUGUUGUCUGGACUGGAAUGAGGGUUUCAAUCUACAUCUCAAGGCUGGUGCCAUAACCUGUAAGAACUCUUUUUUAGUUUUUAUUGUGUUAAUCAUAUAUUCUUCCCAUAAAAUUAGUUUCAAAGUGUUGCAGCUGGUGUGCCAUAGUAGUUGCUAUUUGAAUUGUUAUUUGUGGCUCCUUUAAGAGGUGUAAAAACCUGAAAAGGAAUAGUAGAAUUCUAGUUUCCUUUGUUCAUAGUUUGUUUCCUAGAGCAAGAUGGCAAAAUUACUGCAGUUGUACAAAUGCUGUGCUACAUCCCAAUUAGUCUUUAAUGAGGAGAAAAGGAAGGAUUGAGGCAGUGUGAUAAGGCUUGCUGUUGCAGCAAGCACUAUUAACUUCUGAGACUUUUAUCUAACACUUUUAUCUUCAUUCUGCAGCCUAAAACCUUCAUAGCCAUCUCUGGUCUGUGGUGUUUCAAGCAGGUAUCUGAGCUGUAAACCUUCAUGCAAACAUUAUAGUGCAGAGCCAAAACCAGGUGCAAUUACAUCAAAUGCAUGCUUUUAAUUCAAAUGUACAUUUCAGAAACCAUCCAGCAUAGACUGUGUUAUGUACAUCCUUUGCCACAGAGCAUCUCUAAUAGAAUAACACAUUAUAUAAUGUGUUAGGUCUGUGUGCCUGCGCUGCACAGUUUUGCUUUCAGAUGUGUGCAUUUGGCUUGUGCAGUGUAAGAAAAUGUCUUCUCAAGACAAAUAUGCUACUGCUUGCCUUUUGAAAAAUACUCAUGGAAGGCCUGAAAGGGUACAGAGAACAUUUUCCCAGCACAAACAAAAUUCUUGUUAUGUAAUUUAUUUGGCUUCAAAAAUCAAGCAAGCUGUUUGGUUCUAUACUGGGAUUUUGAACCUGCCAACUCUGACAGCUCCACAUAGUCAUGUAGCUGUUGUUUGGUGGUGUCACAGCAAACCUCUCUGCUUAGCUUGCUUUAACCUUGUCCUCCAGAUGAGAUUCAAAACAUACUUCAAAGGUGUACCUGUCAGCAAUUAAUAUGAAAGUCAUAUCAUCUGUGCUCCUAUAGAAAAAGUUAGGUAUGGUUUUCAUUAUAAGUGAAAAGUGGGUAAGAUUUUGAGAUUUUGAAUAUAGACAGUAAUAGGAGAAGAGAAUGUCAGGCUCUUUUAUGUAGACAUUUGUGAGGUUUUGGUUUGUCAAUAUAGCAUAAAAACAUUACUAAAGUAUAUAAAGUAAUAUCAAAAUUAAUAGUUAUUUGUAAGUGAAUUCAGCUAUUUCUAUGACAAUUACUCUAAAUUUUUUUGUUCUGAAUCAUGCACGUACCAUCAUUUCAUAAAAAGGGCUUCAUUAAAAUGCCUACACAUGGUGUUGGGUGGGUGAAAGAGGAACUUCUAAUGUUUUAUUAAAUUUCUUUUUUUACUUUUAUUGUUAAAAGGUGCUGUGGACAGGAGUAGUGUUAUACACAAUCAUAAUAUUCUAGGCACCCCUCUAUAGAUUUCAAAUAAAUAUGUCCUUAUUAAAUGUCUUUUCCA
Long non-coding RNA from Lonchura striata (white-rumped munia), 2124 nucleotides. The record is from Ensembl. NCBI's taxonomy places the organism in Eukaryota, Metazoa, Chordata, Aves, Passeriformes, Estrildidae.